Molecule: long non-coding RNA, 379 nt
Organism: Gallus gallus (chicken)
Lineage: Eukaryota; Metazoa; Chordata; Aves; Galliformes; Phasianidae
Source: Ensembl
GUGAGCAAAAAAAAUUUGGGUUUCUCAUGGCGGAGUUUCCAGGUAGCAGCCAAGCGUUUGUGACUGUGACUGUCAGCACUAUCCUCGUUGUCAAACUAACAUGAGAGGAAGUUUGAUAACCUCCAGGAUGCAUCCAAGCUGUGUUACACCCUCAUCAUGUUUGGGGCCCUUUACUACUUCUCUUAUAGACUGAACCACAUAGCAGUGAAACUGAUUUUGCUUCAGCAACUGGAUUUUCAGCUUGAGCUGUGGUAGCAUUUGGAGCAGAGUCUGUGCAGAAUAUCAGGUCAAAUCUUAGGAGGACAACAAAAAUAUGAACAGUGUGAACACUAUGAUCUUCAGCAUACAGUGUUGACAGAGGAUCUCCUUUUUAUUUGUG